This 514-nucleotide ribosomal RNA is filed under the name uncultured bacterium. RNAcentral's name for it is "bacterial SSU rRNA". It matches the Rfam family "Bacterial small subunit ribosomal RNA", at positions 34 to 518 of the family's 1533-position model. The record is from RNAcentral.
CGCUGGCGGCGUGCCUAAUACAUGCAAGUCGAACGGUCUUUCUAUGGAAGCUUGCUUCCACUGAGAAGAUAGUGGCGAACGGGUGAGUAACACGUGGGUAACCCGCCCAUAAGAGGGGGAUAACAUCCGGAAACGGGUGCUAAUACCGCAUAGUUUUUCUUGAUCGCAUGAUUGAGAAAGGAAAGACGGCCUUUGUGCUGUCGCUUAUGGAUGGACCCGCGGCGUAUUAGUUAGUUGGUGAGGUAACGGCUCACCAAGACGAUGAUACGUAGCCGACCUGAGAGGGUGAUCGGCCACAUUGGGACUGAGACACGGCCCAAACUCCUACGGGAGGCAGCAGUAGGGAAUCUUCCGCAAUGGACGAAAGUCUGACGGAGCAACGCCGCGUGAGUGAAGAAAAGGGUUUUCGGAUCGUAAAACUCUGUUGUCAGAGAAGAACAAGUUGGAGAGUAACUGCUCCAGCCUUGACGGUAUCUGACCAGAAAGCCACGGCUAACUACGUGCCAGCAGCCGC